AUAAUAAUGAAGUCCAUUUAAGUAUCAAAUGAAGCAAGAAGGAUUCAUAUAAAGUACAUAUAUGUAAGUACGCUCUAUGAGGAAAAACAGGUGCACCACCCUUUGUAAAGUUGAGGGGUAUACCGGUACCCAUUUUGGGGAUUUUCGAUACUGAUUGGUACCGAGCUCAUCCCUACAUAUGUUGCGCCCAUUUUUCAAACAUGAGCAGU
Molecule: long non-coding RNA, 209 nt
Filed under: Helianthus annuus (common sunflower)
Lineage: Eukaryota; Viridiplantae; Streptophyta; Magnoliopsida; Asterales; Asteraceae
Description: hypothetical non coding rna
Source: RNAcentral